GUGGAUAAAGAGGAGAACAGUAACAAAAAGCAGGUUAUAGUCCUUCUCCAAUGGAACUUUAAAAUUUAUAGUUCAUCAAACCAAAAUAACCAAAUAGUUCAGGUCAGUCAAGACAGAGCCCCUCUCGUAAGGCCUAGUUGCCGCGAAUAAUCAGCAGUUAUAAAGCUUUCCUAGCACUUUCUCAUUUAAGCUACAAAUUGUGCUAAGGGCUAAAUUUCAUAUUUUGGCAAACAAAUGCUUCUACAAAUUUACACAAGUAUGUGACAUUAUUUUGAAGUUGCAGUAUUAGACAUCUACCUGGAACUAGUAAACUACCAAAGAACUUUUUACAUUUAAUUGUUAAGAACUUUUUUUCCAACAUGAACGAGUCUAAG
This 374-nucleotide unclassified non-coding RNA is filed under the name Hevea brasiliensis (rubber tree). Lineage: Eukaryota; Viridiplantae; Streptophyta; Magnoliopsida; Malpighiales; Euphorbiaceae. The record is from RNAcentral.